AUGGUCCGGGGAAAGACGGUGAUCGAGAAGAUCGAAAACACCACAAGCCGGCAGGUGACCUUCUCCAAGAGGAAGGGUGGGCUGUUCAAGAAAGCCAGGGAGCUGGGCGUGCUCUGUGAUGCACAGGUAGGGGUGCUCCUCUUCUCCAACACAGGACGCCUCUACGACUACUCCAACUCCAACACCGGGAUGAAAUCACUACUUGAAAGAUACCAACAGGUUAAGGAGGGUCAACAAUUCAUGAGUGCAAGCGCAGAAGCUAAGUUUUGGCAAGCAGAGGGAGAACGUUUGAGGCAGCAACUACAUAACUUGCAGGAAAAUAAUAGGCAGUUGUUGGGACAACAUUUAUCUGGCUUAGGCUUGGAAGACUUAAGUGGUUUAGAGAAGCAACUAGAAACGAGCCUGCAUAACAUUCGACUAGCAAAGGACCAACUUAUGAUUGAUGAAAUUGAAGAGUUCAAUAAGAAGGGAAACCUCGUACACCAAGAAAAUGUUGAGCUGCACAAGAAACUAAAUAUCAUUCAUCAAGAGAAUAUAUAUUUGCAAACCAAGCUAAAUGGGCAGCCAGAAGCAAACGGGGUGAUUACAAGUUCUUCUAGUCAUUGCAGCAUUGCUGCUCGAGAUGGCGCAAAUCUAGUUCGUUUGGAACUCAGCCAACCACAUCAUGCAGAAAGGGGCGAGGAACCAGAAUCACCAACACUGGGUCUCUGA
RNAcentral lists this ribosomal RNA (711 nucleotides) under Triticum aestivum (bread wheat). Its description in RNAcentral is "partial small subunit ribosomal RNA". Lineage: Eukaryota; Viridiplantae; Streptophyta; Magnoliopsida; Poales; Poaceae. The record is from RNAcentral.